CACGCCGUAAACGAUGGAUACUAGCUGUUGGGAGUGAUCUCAGUGGCUAAGCGAAAGUGAUAAGUAUCCCACCUGGGGAGUACGUUCGCAAGAAUGAAACUCAAAGGAAUUGACGGGGGCCCGCACAAGCGGUGGAGCAUGUGGUUUAAUUCGAUGAUACGCGAGGAACCUUACCAAGGCUUAAAUGUAGAUUGACCGAUUAGGAAACUAGUCUUUCGCAAGACAAAUUACAAGGUGC
This 238-nucleotide ribosomal RNA is filed under the name uncultured bacterium. Its description in RNAcentral is "partial 16S ribosomal RNA". It matches the Rfam family "Bacterial small subunit ribosomal RNA", at positions 796 to 1041 of the family's 1533-position model. The record is from RNAcentral.